UUUAAAAUGGGUCAAAAAUCAAAAUUUCCAAAAAUGGUGCAUUGAAGCUUGGUUGUGAUUUUUGAAUCCUAAUGCCUAACACACAGUAACACCCCUCUUGGCCUCUCCUCUCCAGCAUGCAGAAGCAGAACGCAGAGGCAGAAUGCGAAGUAGCAGUGCAGCACUUGGAGCUUUCGGCACAACUUUCGUCAGCCACCGCCGCCGUCGCACAGUCCGUGGAGCUAACGUCAGCCACCUUUAUUCGCGGCUUUGCGCAGCCACUUUUCGUCUCGCAUGCAGUGAGCUCAAAAAUCAGAACUACCGCCAAGGCCGCUUUCCGUUGCGCAGUGUCUUCCCGCUGGUGCCAGGUCUGUUCCACCCUUCCACCCCAUCAGCCACUGUCUUGCCUCUUGUCAGCCACUGUUCCCGCCAGCUCUACAUUUUUUCAGUCUUCCAGCUUCUAACCCUAGCCAUAAGCCUCAGGGUCCUCAGCCCCACAACAGUCAUAGAAUUUGGCAGCAUAUGGUGGAUCAUUCGGUACCAAUUCAUAGUACCUUCAUAAGGUAUUACUGGAGAGUGUUACAAAUUAUGUUACUAAAAGACUUUGUCUCUUCUAUCGUUUGAUUAUGUUGUUGCUCUCUGCUGAUAGUAUUUUUAGUUUCUAUAAAUAAAUAAGUUUUGUGUUGAACUGCACAUAUAUGAUUCAAUGUGUCUUGUUGGAACCAGAAUGUUGUUGCUAGAAUGAUAUGCAAUGUCUUUAGUUUAUUAUUAUAAAGUGACUACUAUUCACAUGAAU
Molecule: non-coding RNA, 775 nt
Organism: Arachis ipaensis
Lineage: Eukaryota; Viridiplantae; Streptophyta; Magnoliopsida; Fabales; Fabaceae
Source: RefSeq, a predicted model, not a curated record